AUCCGUUGAAAAGGGUGGCGAUGAGGUGUGGGUAGGGGAGAAAUUCCAAUCGAACUCGGAGAUAGCUGGUUCUCCUCGAAAUAGUUUUAGGACUAGCCUUGUUUAGUAGUACGUGGGGGUAGAGCACUGAAUGAGCUAGGGGCCAAACCAGGUUACCGAACUCUAUCAAACUCCGAAUACCAUGUAUGUAAGAACAGGAGUCAGACUGUGGGAGCUAAGUUCCAUGGUCAAAAGGGAAAGAGCCCAGAUCGUCAAUUAAGGUCCCAAAGAUAUAGUUAAGUGGAAAACGAUGUGAUUUUGCGUAAACAACCAGGAUGUUGGCUUAGAAGCAGCCAUGCAUUUAAAGAGUGCGUAAUAGCUCACUGGUCGAGUGAAGUUGCGCGGAAAAUUACCGGGGCUAAACUAUACACCGAAAUUGCGGAUUUAUACGAUAGUAUAAGUGGUAGAGGAGCAUUCUAUAGUAGGACGAAGCAUGACUGAAAAGACAUGUGGACGAGAUAGAAGAGAGAAUGCCGGAAUAAGUAGCGAAAGCAUGGUGAGAAUCCAUGCCAUCGAAAGUCUAAGGUUUCCUGGGGAAGGUUCGUCCGCCCAGGGUAAGUCGGGACCUAAGGUGAGGCCGAAAGGCGUAGCCGAUGGACAGCAGGUAGAAAUUCCUGCACCACCGAUAUACUUAAAAAGCACAAGGGACACAGGAGUGGAAGAGAAGCGAGGAAGAGGAAAGACUCGUAUCGAAAGAUAUAGUGAAAAUAAAGUAACGAAUUCUCAAGAAGCACACUGGCGAGAAAAGCUUGUGAGUCUUGUAUAUAGGUGCCCGUACCGCAAACCGACACAGGUAGAUGAGGAGAGGAUCCUAAGAUGAGCGAGAGAAGCAUUGUUAAGGAACUCGGCAAACUAACCCCGUAACUUAGGGAGAAGGGGUACCAUAUGAAAGUAUGGUCGCAGAGAAGAGGCCCAAGCAACUGUUUAACAAAAACACAGGUUUCUGCUAAAUCGAAAGAUGAAGUAUAGGAGCUGACACCUGCCCAGUGCUGGAAGGUUAAGGGGAAAUGUAAGUACUUGAUACGAAGCAUAGAACCAAAGCCCCAGUGAACGGCGGCCGUAACUAUAACGGUCCUAAGGUAGCGAAAUUCCUUGUCAGGUAAGUUCUGACCCGCACGAAAGGUGUAAUGAUUUGGGCGCUGUCUCGACAAUGUACUCGGCGAAAUUGUAGUACUAGUGAAGAUGCUAGUUACCUGCGACAAGACAGAAAGACCCCAUGGAGCUUUACUGUAGCUUGAUACUGGGUUUUGAUAAUUUAUGUACAGGAUAGGUGGGAUACUAAGAAGCAUUUGCGCCAGCAGAUGUGGAGUAGACGUUGGGAUACCACCCUUAAGUUAUUGAAAUUCUAACCAUUCGUCAUAAACUGGCGAGGGGACAAUGUCAGGCGGGCAGUUUGACUGGGGCGGUCGCCUCCAAAAGAGUAACGGAGGCGCGCAAAGGUUUCCUCAGCACGGACAGAAAUCGUGCGAAAGAGUGCAAAGGCAGAAGGAAGCUUAACUGAGAGACUGACAAGUCGACCAGAUACGAAAGUAGGUCUUAGUGAUCCGGCGGUAGUGAGUGGAAAUGCCGUCGCUCAACGGACAAAAGUUACCCUGGGGAUAACAGGCUUAUCUCCCCCAAGAGUUCACAUCGACGGGGAGGUU
Molecule: ribosomal RNA, 1682 nt
Filed under: human gut metagenome
Description: bacterial LSU rRNA
Rfam family: Bacterial large subunit ribosomal RNA
Source: RNAcentral